Molecule: non-coding RNA, 577 nt
Organism: Cricetulus griseus (Chinese hamster)
Lineage: Eukaryota; Metazoa; Chordata; Mammalia; Rodentia; Cricetidae
Source: RefSeq, a predicted model, not a curated record
GCCCUGAGGUGGCCGGUCGUGCCCGCGUGGCCUCGGGCAGUGGAGGCUGGCACCCGGAGGCUGUCGCGAAGAGGGUCAGGGCUGCAGGCCGGGAAGAGGCUCUCCCCUGACUGGACGUCGGAGUCACCUGGAUGGCUUCUAAAUGCAGAUGCCCCGCCCCACCCCUCAGAGUCACCGUCGAGGAGUGGAGUUUGCUCAAGACCAAAACAGCAUCAGAGGAGGAAUUAAAAACGUUUCCCAGGACCAGUGAGACAGCUCAGCAGAUCACAGCCUAUGUCCCCAUCAAAACUGGAUGAUGAAAGGAAUGAGGAGAAGGAGUUCCUUUUCAGUUUCUGCUCUCAGCUUCUUCAGAGUGUUUUCACAGAGGUAUUCUUAUCCCUGUUAGCAUUUUCUUUGUCUAAGGAUGAAUCUCCGGAACCUUGGUGCUUGGGUCACUCCAGCUUGGCAGGAAGCCUGUUGGGUGAGAUCCUCCCAAGACAAUGCUAGAAGUCAUUCUCCUUGUCUUCUACCUGGCCCCAGGAAGCUCUCACAUAUUGCUGGUAACAUCUACAACUCUAGAAAACUCUGGAAAACUGAG